RNAcentral lists this ribosomal RNA (324 nucleotides) under uncultured Omnitrophica bacterium. Its description in RNAcentral is "bacterial SSU rRNA". It matches the Rfam family "Bacterial small subunit ribosomal RNA", at positions 29 to 351 of the family's 1533-position model. Lineage: Bacteria; Pseudomonadati; Candidatus Omnitrophota. The record is from RNAcentral.
AGUGAACGCUGGCGGCGUGGUUUAGGCAUGCAAGUCGAACGAUACCGCAAGGUAUAGUGGCAAAAGGGUGCGUAACGCGUGAGCAAUCUACCUUUAAGUGGGGAAUAACCCUGGGAAACCGGGGCUAAGACCGCAUAUGACCACGGCUCGGAAUCGAGCUGUGAUAAAAGAUGGGGACCGCAAGGCCUGUCGCUUAGAGAUGAGCUCGCGUCCUAUCAGCUUGUUGGCGGGUAACGCCCACCAAGGCUUUGACGGGUAGCUGGUCUGAGAGGAUGGUCAGCCACAUUGGGACUGAGAUACUGCCCAGACUCCUACGGGUGGCAG